This 253-nucleotide ribosomal RNA is filed under the name uncultured bacterium. Its description in RNAcentral is "partial 16S ribosomal RNA". It matches the Rfam family "Bacterial small subunit ribosomal RNA", at positions 524 to 776 of the family's 1533-position model. The record is from RNAcentral.
UACGUAGGGUGCGAGCGUUGUCCGGAAUUAUUGGGCGUAAAGGGCUCGUAGGCGGUCUGUCGCGUCAGGAGUGAAAACUCGGGGCUUAACCCCGAGCCUGCUUCUGAUACGGGCAGACUAGAGGUAUGCAGGGGAGAACGGAAUUCCCGGUGUAGCGGUGAAAUGCGCAGAUAUCGGGAGGAACACCAAUGGCGAAGGCAGCUCGCUGGGACGGUACUGACGCUGAGACGCGAAAGCGUGGGGAGCAAACAGG